This 217-nucleotide long non-coding RNA is filed under the name Eucalyptus grandis. RNAcentral's name for it is "long non-coding RNA (EGRA_LNC005939)". Lineage: Eukaryota; Viridiplantae; Streptophyta; Magnoliopsida; Myrtales; Myrtaceae. The record is from RNAcentral.
GUCCUCUCGUCGUGUCUCGUCUUGGUUUUUAUCGGUUCUCAUCUGAGUUCUCCCAACGGCGAUGGCGACGGCGACCGAUUGAGGGACAGGGCCCCUUUCUUCUGCAAAUCUCUCCUUCGUCCCUCUUCCUUCUAUGACGGCGACAGCGACUGAGGGGUCGAGCAUGUCUUGCGCGCGCUCUGCUCUGGACUGAGGGGCCGCCAGUGGCUUUAGAUCU